GUCUUUCAAUAAAGAGUUUUCUUUCUGGUUUGUGUUUCUAUGUAAAUGAAUACCUUUGCCUUUAAUAAAGGAUUUAAAGUUCCAAAUGGGUUGGUUUUGGGCUUUUAUGAAGAUGUUGGAAUUUUUCUGUAUUUUUUUUAUAGCAUUUCAUAUCUUUCCAGUAUUUUCAUGUGUUCUUCUUUGAGGAUUUCAAGGUCUAGAAAUUAUAUGGAAUGAUUUUUGCAUUCCUUAGUAAAC
RNAcentral lists this long non-coding RNA (237 nucleotides) under Mytilus galloprovincialis (Mediterranean mussel). Lineage: Eukaryota; Metazoa; Mollusca; Bivalvia; Mytilida; Mytilidae. The record is from RNAcentral.